Sebastes umbrosus (honeycomb rockfish) is the source of this 335-nucleotide long non-coding RNA. RefSeq lists it as uncharacterized. NCBI's taxonomy places the organism in Eukaryota, Metazoa, Chordata, Actinopteri, Perciformes, Sebastidae. The record is from RefSeq and is a predicted model, not a curated record. The transcript is spliced from 2 exons.
UCAUUCAGGAAUUUGAAGUUCACCUCUUUCACCUUAGGAGGGAGAGGGAAUGAAAUAUAUCUUCUCCGUAUUAUCUUAAACUCUUCAGCUUCAAAUUCCUUGAAAACAUAAUUUCUCCUGACUGGGAAUAAAUGAAUUGUGCAACUUGUUUAAUUUAGAUGGAGUUGUUUUGAUUCUCACACUGGUCUGUACCUCACUGUGUGUGUUGUCAACAUUAGAAACAGUCAGAAAUCACAUUUAAAAGAUGGUUCAACUUUACCCUCCUACAACUUCACUGCAUCAUUAUAAUCUCAUAUAAAAACAAACAAACAAGCAGAAUCAUGUCAGUUGUUGAU